UUUUUCUAGGAGGCCGGUUACAGCAUAGAGAGACUGGGCCUGCAGCACAGUUUGACCAAGUUUCCUGGCGUUCACACGACUAUUGUCGGCAUUACAAGUACAGAAGUGCUGCACAAAAAUAUUUCCUGCUUGAGCACGGUCCCCAAGGAAGAAGAGAACAUCAGCCAGGAGGUUAAGACAAAGUUCUUUGGGAAGCCAACGAGCAGUCACUGGGAAGGCGUGGAGAUCGGCAAGAUUCGCCGGAAACUUGCCCAGCGCCGCUCCCAGCUUGCUCAGGGAAACGUCUGACGCCUUACCUCCGGCAAAGCCUAGCAGCUCGACAGAGUGAAUCCACAGCGGAGGUGACGAGAAGUUCACGCGCUAGAAGAACGAUGAGAUACAAAUCCUCAUCGCCGGUGAAUCACGUGGCAGCGGGCUGUUUGCUCGGUCUUGGUGUUCGAGGAAACUGUGUUCUUUUAGUCGCGAGCGAGCAUGUGCAUGCUUUGCGAGUGUUUUCUUUUCUCGACCUUCAUCACAUGAUCCAGCACGCCUGGACUCGCCCUAUAGUAACAUCUUUUCUGGGACAAGCUCUCCAUGCCAGCCAUGACUAGGCACUGGAGCGUGUUGAACGUGCUCUCAUCCAUCGGCCGAUUAUGAACACUUCCUCGUUGACAUAUCUAAUGUAAAUAUAAUAAUAAAAAGUUG
Molecule: long non-coding RNA, 684 nt
Organism: Dermacentor silvarum
Lineage: Eukaryota; Metazoa; Arthropoda; Arachnida; Ixodida; Ixodidae
Exons: 3
Source: RefSeq, a predicted model, not a curated record